Molecule: ribosomal RNA, 253 nt
Filed under: uncultured bacterium
Lineage: Bacteria
Description: partial 16S ribosomal RNA
Rfam family: Bacterial small subunit ribosomal RNA
Source: RNAcentral
UACAGAGGGUGCGAGCGUUAAUCGGAAUUACUGGGCGUAAAGCGCGCGUAGGCGGCUUUGACAGUCGGGUGUGAAAUCCCCAGGCUUAACCUGGGAACUGCAUUCGAGACUGCGUUGCUAGAGUAUGGGAGAGGGAAGUGGAAUUUCCGGUGUAGCGGUGAAAUGCGUAGAUAUCGGAAGGAACAUCAGUGGCGAAAGCGACUUCCUGGACGAAUACUGACGCUCAUGUGCGACAGCGUGGGGAGCAAACAGG